This 497-nucleotide ribosomal RNA is filed under the name uncultured bacterium. RNAcentral describes it as "partial 16S ribosomal RNA". It matches the Rfam family "Bacterial small subunit ribosomal RNA", at positions 28 to 507 of the family's 1533-position model. The record is from RNAcentral.
GAUGAACGCUGGCGGCGUGCCUAAUACAUGCAAGUCGAGCGAACGGACGAGAAGCUUGCUUCUCUGAUGUUAGCGGCGGACGGGUGAGUAACGCGUGGAUAACCUACCUAUAAGACUGGGAUAACUUCGGGAAACCGGAGCUAAUACCGGAUAAUAUUUUGAACCGCAUGGUUCAAAAGUGAAAGACGGUCUUGCUGUCACUUAUAGAUGGAUCCGCGCUGCAUUAGCUAGUUGGUAAGGUAACGGCUUACCAAGGCAACGAUGCAUAGCCGACCUGAGAGGGUGAUCGGCCACACUGGAACUGAGACACGGUCCAGACUCCUACGGGAGGCAGCAGUAGGGAAUCUUCCGCAAUGGGCGAAAGCCUGACGGAGCAACGCCGCGUGAGUGAUGAAGGUCUUCGGAUCGUAAAACUCUGUUAUUAGGGAAGAACAUAUGUGUAAGUAACUGUGUACAUCUUGACGGUACCUAAUCAGAAAGCCACGGCUAACUACGUG